CCCACCAAGGCUAUGACGGGUAGCCGGCCUGAGAGGGCGGCUGGCCACACUGGGAUUGAGAUACGGCCCAGACUCCUACGGGAGGCAGCAGUGGGGAAUAUUGGGCAAUGGGGGAAACCCUGACCCAGCGACGCCGCGUGGAGGAAGGAGCCCUUCGGGGUGUAAACUCCUGUUGUAAGGGAAGAAGACAGUGACGGUACCUUACGAGGAAGCCCCGGCAAACUACGUGCCAGCAGCCGCGGUAACACGUAGGGGGCGAGCGUUGUCCGGAAUCACUGGGCGUAAAGCGCACGCAGGCGGAUGCGCGCGUCGGCUGUGAAAUGCACCGGCUCAACCGGUGCACUGCGGUCGAUACGGCGCGUCUGGAGUGCGGGAGAGGGAAGCGGAAUUCCCGGUGUAGCGGUGAAAUGCGUAGAUAUCGGGAGGAACGCCGGUGGCGAAGGCGGCUUCCUGGCCCGCAACUGACGCUCAUGUGCGAAAGCCAGGGGAGCGAACCGGAUUAGAUACCCGGGUAGUCCUGGCCGUAAACGAUGGACGCUAGGUGUGGGCGGUUUAUCCGUCUGUGCCGAAGUUAACGCGUUAAGCGUCCCGCCUGGGGAGUACGAUCGCAAGGUUGAAACUCAA
RNAcentral lists this ribosomal RNA (624 nucleotides) under bacterium enrichment culture. RNAcentral describes it as "bacterial SSU rRNA". It matches the Rfam family "Bacterial small subunit ribosomal RNA", at positions 264 to 904 of the family's 1533-position model. The record is from RNAcentral.